GAUGAACGCUGGCGGCGUGCCUAACACAUGCAAGUCGAACGAACAGAUGCGGAGCUUGCUCCUCUGUCGUUAGCGACGGACGGGUGAGUAACACGUAGAUAACCUACCUCUAUGACUUAGAUAACUUCGGGAAACUGUAGCUAAUACCGGAUAAUAUAUUCAACCGCAUGGUUCACUAGUGAAUGACGGUUUUGCUGUCACUUAUCGAUGGAUCCGCGUCGGAUUAGCUUGUUGGUACGGUAACGCCUUACCAAGGCAACGACGCGGAGCCGACCGGGGAGGGGGAUAGGCCACCUGGGAACGGGAACACGGACAAGACUCCUGAGGGAGGCAGCAGAAGGGAAUGGGCCGCAAUGGGGGAAAGCCUGACACAGCAACGCCGCGUGAGUUAUGAAGGUCGUGAGAGCGGAAAACGCUGUUAUGAGGGAAAAACAAAUGUGGAAGUAAAGAAGGCCGUAGUGACGGUACCUAAACAAAAAGCCACGGCUAACUACGUG
This 497-nucleotide ribosomal RNA is filed under the name uncultured bacterium. Its description in RNAcentral is "partial 16S ribosomal RNA". It matches the Rfam family "Bacterial small subunit ribosomal RNA", at positions 28 to 507 of the family's 1533-position model. The record is from RNAcentral.